RNAcentral lists this ribosomal RNA (35 nucleotides) under Desmodesmus fennicus. Lineage: Eukaryota; Viridiplantae; Chlorophyta; Chlorophyceae; Sphaeropleales; Scenedesmaceae. The record is from RNAcentral.
CCAAGGUUCGACCUGAGCUCAGGCAAGGCUACCCG